ACCAGUGUGUGAAUGAACGAAGUGGGGUUCUGGGAGUGCUGGUCAGAUCCCAGGGAACUUCGACCGCCUGGCGCUGUUAAUUUGCUCUCAUUUUUAAAAUUUCAUUGAAGCUUCAAGAAUUUACUUGUUCUUUGUAUCACAGUUUGUAAUAGAAAUUCAUGCUAUAACCAUGGAAAAAAUGGAACUAGCCCUACCAGAUCAUGAGGAAGCCAAAACCCUAGAAGAGGAACAUGACUCUGAAGCGCAAAUCGUAAUGGAAACAACAGACAAUGGAAUAGAGAUGAGUCAACACAAUGUCUCCCAAAGUUCACAGAGUUCCCGAAGUUCACGUUGUUCACAAACUUCACAUAGUUCCCAAAUUUCCCAAACUAGCUCACAGGAUUUGACACAGCUAGGGCAAGUAGAAUUGGCUGUCGACAGUGAACCAGCGUUGACCUACGAGAAAAGUACUUUCUAUGUCAAUUGCGAUGCCGAGAAGACAUCGAGCGGAAAUCAUUCAUCUGAAUCUGGGGGAUCAAAUACAAGCAGCUAUGGCACUUGCAAAGGCCACAGUGAAGAUGAAAUGGAUGGUGUUCUGUUGGACGUGCGCACCAUAAUGUCUCGACAGCGCUCUGAGUCCCAGGCCUCGCUGGAGUACUACCGCUCGCAGGACACGCGCUUGCAGGUUUCAGCGCGAGAGGAACUGCAGGUCAGACCCCAAGCCACAGAACAUGACCGCCACGUCCACCAGUCGCGGAGACUCCCAUUCUGGCUUUGGUUCAUCAUUGCCAAGAGCCUCGGAAUCAAGCUGCAUGCCGAAGACAAGCCCAUUGUGGCAACAGUCUUGUAUACCCUCACGUUUAUGACUGCUUCAGGUUACAUCAUGUCAAACUGGUGGUUCACCGCCUAUGACAUAGCCAGCGACUACACCAAGACUACGGUCAUAGACGGAACCAUUAGCAUAUUCUUCUCCUUGCUUUGGGGUGCGCUUGGAGUAUAUGCUAACAAACUGGCAUUUAGGUUGUUCAGCCACAAGAAGUUCCUCGACAUGUUGAGACUUCACUCAAAGACCAUCCUGAAAAUGAACGCAGCGGCUGUGCUCUUCACGGUCAUGCUGCUCUUUGCCGUCUUCAACGACAUCAAUGCGCUCGAUAACUUCAAGGACAAGACGUGUCAGACAGUGGCCGUUGACGUGAUAGUGUGCAAAGUGCGAUACAUAAUGCGGGUUGUGUACUCUGGAUUUGCGGUUGUUUGGAACUACCUGGUUGCCUUUGUCCUCAUCUCUGUCUGCCGCACUCAUGUCAUUGGAAUUCGGAAAUUUAUGCAGUCCCUGGAGCAAGAUUCCCGUGUUUAUGAGGCGAGGUACAUGGGUGUCACGCAGCAUGGAACGCCAGACAGACCUGUGUUGGAAGAGAAUGGUCACCACUCUGAAGGAAAUGAGCUUUUAUCUGAGUACACUUGGGUGGACGAGGACUACUUGGACGAGCUGCGAGACCCGGGGACAAGCGAUGUGGACUCCAACUCCUCGGCACUCAUUCCGCAGCAGGGUAACAGACGGACCAGUGGACAGACAACGGGUGGAUCGCCAGACAGCACAGGACUCCCGAUACCCAGGAUUCCUUCCUCAUCAUCUUCUUCAGGGCAGAGUACUGGGUCAGAGAGAUCAUCGAAUCCUCCUAGGGAAGCUCAGGGGCAGGACAAGACAUCCAGCACUUUAACACAUAGACCCCGAUCCAACAGCCAGACUGAUGAGGCCAGCUCGGUGUGCAGUACAUCGACUUCUGCUGAGGUCCGCGCCAAGCCCAUGCCUCUCAUGAGCAAUUCGGAGAUUCUCUUUCGAUACUGGAAGAUACAGUCCCGGCUGAGGUUGUCAUCCGUGGCGCUACAGAGGUGGAUGAUGUCGGUCCUCUCCAUGGUGGUGGUCUGGCUGGCCAUGAACAUGGUCAUGUGGCUGACCUGUGACCCGUCCUUGAUUGACCUGGCCAACUUCUUCCUCCCACUGGCCCUCCUCCCCCUUCUGGCGUCUGCAUAUGCCGAGGUCAACCAGGAGGGAAUCAGGCUUCUUAAGUUCAUCUGUCCUGUGGAAGAGAGACUGCAGAUGCUCUACGUCCUGCAGAACAACCCUCUCCAGAUGACCGUCUAUGGGUUGACGCUCUCGUACUCCAUCAUCACCACGGCGGCCUUCGGUAUCCUGCUGGCUUUCGCGUCCAAGGUCCUGAUACAGGAGAUUUCAGGGCCCAACACACCGCCUAUAGCUCAGUGAUGGGACAUAGAGUCGAGAUCUGCCGGAGCAGAACUGUAUAUUUUGCUUGCAUCGUGUGUAAGGCAGCUGUGUUUCCCUUAAUGCUGUGUAUUUCCCUUAAUGCUGUGUUAGGAAUGGAGCAAAGGAUGUCAUUCCAGAUAUAUCUUCUUUGUGUUUUUUAUAUAAUCUACCUUGGACAGUAGAACCCUUUUCAUAUGGAUAAUUUUGUAAUACAUAAUACAGCAUAAUACAGCUGUAGGUAGUAAAAUACUGAUACAUAGGUUAGUUGGGUAAAAAAAAGGUGACAUGAAAGGAGGGUGUACAGGGGAAGAGGGAGAGCAGCUAUAGGCUACGUUUACGUCUUUCAACACAUAGAGUAUUAUAACUAAAGUAUAUUUUUUAAAACUAUUGCUGUCAGUAGAUUUGCUUGAAAUGAUAGUUGUAAUUUCUAGUUGAUUCUUUUUAAUUACUUUUAGCUGAUGGCAUUAGCAUUUACAUAACAUUCCUAACUAAUUUAUAUAAUCUCAAGUACCUCUGUCUUUUAUUCUGAUGUUUGAUCGUUUAGUCUUUUUAGUCAUGCAUUAUUUUAUCAAUUUUAGCCAAAGUGAAUGAUAAUAUUAGGUAUAUAAGCAGUACUAAAACUUUUAACCAGAUAACAGAUAUAUAGUCAUUAUUUUAUGAUUUGAAAAGACACGUUUAUAUGAUAAGAAAUACAAGCGAAAGAGAAUGAAAAGAGUGAAUGAGAAAUAACCAUUGUAGGAAAAAGCAAUAAUUCAAAUAAUAACUAGAUUGCACUAGCAAAUUAACUUUCUUCCUCAGAAACACAGUCAAUAAUAGAUCUUUUUGUAAUUAAAAUAAAUGAUAUAAAUAGCUCACAACCGUCUAGAUUCUGGCUUCUAGCAUUAUUAUUAUUAUUUUGACUGAAAUGGCAAAUUCCAAAAAAGGAAAUGGAAAUAUUGAGUGUAAAAGGUGAUUGAAUCUCUGUAUUUGUGAGACAGUGGAACAUAAAAUAUGUUAAUUUUUUAUUAAGGUGUAGUAUAGCUGGGAUAAUUACCUAUAAUUCUCCGUUCUGACAUGUUUCAUAGUAUACAUGGUUUAAACGUUGUGUUAUUUGUGAUUUUUUUUUUUUUUUUUUUUUUUUUUUUUUUUUUUUUUUUUUUUUUUUUUUUUUUUUUUUUUUUUUUUUUUUUUACCUUAUUUUCUUUAUCAUUUUGAUUUUCUCUUUUUCCCCCUUUUCAUAUUCUCCAGCCUUCUUCAAUUGCAUCUGAUGUGCUUAGUAAGAGAAGUCCCUAAGUACCAUUAAAAAAAAAAAAAAAAUUGCCCCUUUAGUUUCUUAUUCUUAACUUGAGAACCAACAAAGGCAAAGGUUGUAUAGGAAUUUGGACCAUGCUGCAGAUUCCGAAAGCAUUUUGCCAACCGUUAGUGAAAUAGCGCUAUACUCACAUAGGCUAAGGCUGCUAGUAGGUAAUUUUUCCCCUUAGUUUAUGCUUAGGGUCUAUUCUUACCGAGGGCCUCAUUUGUGGAUCUCAUACUUUGUCCUUUUUAUUCUCUGCCUUAUGUAUUUUAUUUGAGACAUAGAUAUUUACAAGUGGUUUAUAAAUUAAAGAGAAAUAUAUAUAUAUAUGAAUAAUAAUAAAAGACUAUAGUUU
Molecule: unclassified non-coding RNA, 3870 nt
Filed under: Penaeus japonicus
Lineage: Eukaryota; Metazoa; Arthropoda; Malacostraca; Decapoda; Penaeidae
Description: uncharacterized LOC122261106, transcript variant X4
Source: RNAcentral